UGCUGCAUGGCUGUCGUCAGCUCGUGUCGUGAGAUGUUCGGUUAAGUCCGCUACGAGCGCAACCCUCGUCGUGUGUUAUACGUGUCACACGAUACUGCCGGUAUCAAGCCGGAGGAAGGUGGGGAUGAUGUCAAGUCAGCAUGGCCUUUAUAUCCUGGGCUACACACACGCUACAAUGGCAGAUACAAUAGGUUGCGAAACCGCGAGGUGGAGCCAAUCCUCAAAGUCUGUCUCAGUUCAGAUUGUAGGCUGUAACUCGCCUGCAUGAAGUUGGAGUUGCUAGUAAACGCAGGUCAGCUAUACUGCGUUGAAUACGUUCCCGGGGUUU
RNAcentral lists this ribosomal RNA (328 nucleotides) under uncultured Leptolinea sp. Its description in RNAcentral is "bacterial SSU rRNA". It matches the Rfam family "Bacterial small subunit ribosomal RNA", at positions 1039 to 1382 of the family's 1533-position model. Lineage: Bacteria; Bacillati; Chloroflexota; Anaerolineae; Anaerolineales; Anaerolineaceae. The record is from RNAcentral.